UCUUCAUUUCACAUACUCUCUCGCCACUCUAAUAAUCGAGAGAGUGUGCGAAAUGAAGAGA
This 61-nucleotide microRNA precursor is filed under the name Pristionchus pacificus. Its description in RNAcentral is "mir-8364 microRNA precursor family". It matches the Rfam family "mir-8364 microRNA precursor family". The record is from Rfam by way of RNAcentral. Lineage: Eukaryota; Metazoa; Nematoda; Chromadorea; Rhabditida; Neodiplogasteridae.